CCAAUAGCGUAUAUUAAAGUUGUUGCAGUUAAAAAGCUCGUAGUUGAAUUUCGGGGUCUAUCUGUUGGUCGGGCUUUUGGGUCCGUACGGGCGUUAUGGAUUCCUACCUUCUGAAUAACCGGUAUGCCAUUAAUUUGGUGUCCUGGGGAAGCAGGACUGUUACCUUGAAAAAAUUAGAGUGCUUAAAGCAGGCUAUCGCCUGAAUACAUUAGCAUGGAAUAAUGAAAUAGGACGGCAUGGUUCUAUCUUGUUGGUUUCUAGGAUCACCGUAAUGAUUAAUAGGGAUAGUUGGGGGCAUUAGUAUUCAAUUGUCAGAGGUGAAAUUCUUGGAUUUAUUGAAGACUAACUUCUGCGAAAGCAUUUGCCAAGGAUGUUUUCAUUAAUCAAGAACGAAAGUUAGGGGAUCGAAGACGAUCAGAUACCGUCGUAGUCUUAACCAUAAACUAUGCCGACUAGGGAUCGGACGAUGUUAAUUUUUUAAUGACUCGUUCGGCGCCUUACG
RNAcentral lists this ribosomal RNA (502 nucleotides) under uncultured Glomeromycotina. RNAcentral describes it as "partial small subunit ribosomal RNA". It matches the Rfam family "Eukaryotic small subunit ribosomal RNA", at positions 591 to 1092 of the family's 1831-position model. The record is from RNAcentral. Lineage: Eukaryota; Fungi; Glomeromycota.